This is a long non-coding RNA of Centruroides sculpturatus (bark scorpion), 548 nucleotides long. RefSeq lists it as uncharacterized. The transcript has 3 exons. NCBI's taxonomy places the organism in Eukaryota, Metazoa, Arthropoda, Arachnida, Scorpiones, Buthidae. The record is from RefSeq and is a predicted model, not a curated record.
UAAAAACUCAGUUACAUUCCUCUUCAGUGUAAAAAAAAUGUUGUGACUCUAAAGUUUUAAUAUCGUGACAAGGAUAUGAUUCAUUUUAUUUACUUAACAACUAAUUAUUUUGUUAACCUUUGUAUUUUCAACAAGCUUGGGAUUUUCAAACCUUAUAAUUUUAUUUUUCAGUGUCAAGUAGAUAGAUCUGUCACGAAUUUUCUGAAUAUUUCAGUCUUUUUAAUCGGCUAACAUAAUUAUUGAUGGCUUUGAUCUUUAUCCGAAAACAGGCGAGUGAAUAUGUAAAUUGUCUUGAUGAAAUUACUGAAAAAUUAAUUCAGAAUCAUCUACUACAUGUAACUAGGAUUGCAUUUUCGUAGAUUAUGCAAUAUCAUUAGGAAGAAGAUUAUUAUAACAGAGUAAAGAGGCUCCUGCCAAAGUUCAAUGACAUCACUGUCUCAAGAAUUGGAUUAAUUAAAAAAUAAUGAUUUUAAAAAUUUUCUUUUUUAGUUUUUGUGAAGAGAAUAUAUUAAUUACAGAUGAAAUCAUUAACGAUUAAUUUCGCUCAU